UGGAGUGUAGCUCAGUGGUAGAGUACCUGCUUAGCAUGCACAGAAGCCUGGGUUCAGUCCCCAGCACCAG
RNAcentral lists this transfer RNA (70 nucleotides) under Marmota monax (woodchuck). It matches the Rfam family "tRNA". Rfam says of the family: Transfer RNA (tRNA) molecules are approximately 80 nucleotides in length. The record is from Rfam by way of RNAcentral. Lineage: Eukaryota; Metazoa; Chordata; Mammalia; Rodentia; Sciuridae.